Non-coding RNA from Microcebus murinus (gray mouse lemur), 2488 nucleotides. NCBI's taxonomy places the organism in Eukaryota, Metazoa, Chordata, Mammalia, Primates, Cheirogaleidae. The record is from RefSeq and is a predicted model, not a curated record.
AGGACCCACAAGCCUACCCCACGAUGAUGCUAAAGAAUCAGAUGCUGAGAGCCCAGGGCCUGGAGAGUGGACCCUUGGGGCUGGACAUGAUCAUGGAGCCACUCCUGAGCUGCAGAGAAAGAUAUGGCAAGUGGAAGACACUUUGGAUGAGCUGAAUGAGGAGUUCUUCCAGCUCUCUUCUCAAGCCCUGGAGCUCCAGAAAAAGGAGGAUGAGCCAGACCCACUGCCCCCAGGUGAAGGCAGAACGUCUAUGGUGGCUCCCAGCAUCUCCCCUUGUGAGUGGCAGGAAGAGAGACUUCACCCACUGGAGACAAAUGGCCCAGAUGGAGAGAAGCUGGGAACCUGGGCCCUGAAGAGCCACCAGGCCCUGGAGCUGGAGGUGAGGAGAGUCCACCUGGCUCAGAGGAUUGAAGACCUGGAGUGGGAGCUGUCCCUGCUCCUUCAGGUGGCCAACAGCAGUUCGAACAUGGGAGGGAGCUGGCCCAGCGGACACAGUGGGCUAAGGGGCACUGAGUCACAUCAGAUGCUGCAUGGUGGCCACCCCCAGGAGGUGCCUUCUGACCAAGAACAUGAACGGGUUCCCCUGGUAGGAAGGAGUGGCCAUCUUGGGCCCGGAGUAUGUGCUGGUUUUACGACACGCUCCUACAGGGAAACACCGGGAUUUCUUUCAGAGCCUGGACCUCAGCUUGUGCUAAAUUCUGCCUUUAACUUUCUGGGGUGAGGGAAAAUAAACUGACAUGGGUUGACAAAAUCAAUGUGUGCUCCUAUCAGAACUCGUGCCUCAGUUUUCUCCCUCAGGUGCAGGCCCUUGCUUCCCCCAGAGACUUCAGCUGGGGCACCUGGCUUGAGGGGUGAGGAGUGCUCGGGUGGGGGCCCUGAGAAUGUAGGUACGGCUGUUGCCCAUCCAUGCCCCGCUGCCAUCACGCCUCACUGCCGAGUCUCAAGGCCCCAACAUGACUUGUGGGGAGUCUAGGCAGCCAUGUCCCCUCCUGGCUCCAGCCAACCUCUUGGACACAGAGGAAGGUUCUGUCUGUGCCCUGGGCCUCCUGAGAACAUCAAAUGUCCCCAAACCGAAGGAAACUCUCUGAGAACAGCCAGAGCCAGACCAGUCAAAUUGGAGUUCCCUGACCCUGGACACCCACGGCCAUGCCCUCUGAGCCUUGCUCCAGCAGUUCCCGCCUCAGAAGGCCCCUCCUCCUGCUGCUGUGCCCAGGUGAGACGUGCUUCACCUCCAAGACCCAGACCAGAGGCCCCUCAAUCCACAGAGCUUUUUCCCAACCCUUCCCAGAUUUCUACCCCUGUGUCUCCACCACAUGUCUGACUCCUACCAUGGUCAUCUGUGGCCUGGAUGGCCCUGUCUUCCAGUCAGAGCUCCUCAAAGCAGGCUGUGUGUCUCAUUCACUUUGGUGUCCCUCUCUCUCACACACACAGACACGCUCACACACAGUCAUGCACACACACACUACACACACAUGCACAUAUAGACACGAACCGACAUUCAGGCAUACGCAUAGACACAAUCACAAACAGGCAUGCACACUCUAACAGACACAUGCACAUAGACCCUGAAAACACUGCAUUGCAGGUACAGGGCAAUAAGUGACCCAGGAAGGCUUAAAGAAUGUAAUCGACUGUAAGGACAUAGCUUCUCACCAAAGAGCAUGCAGUCAUGUUGGGAUGCCACACAAGCACACGGGAAACCAUACAGAAAAUGCUACAAAACCAAGUGCCAAACCCCAUGGGCAAGCUAGAGUGGAAGGAUGAACUUGGAGGCCAGAACCCUUAGGGACAGCUUCCAGGUGGUACUGACUGAACUGUCAGGUGGCUAGAAUUUAGACUCCAGAAAGGGGCACAGAGAUGAUUGCACUUCAGGUUGGUUAGGUGUCUGGAGGGAGAAAAACAUGCAAGGUAUUGACUAAGAAGAGUUAGGGUGCAUCCCUUGAGGAUGAGGAAACAUAGUAGAAAGUAGAGUAGGGACAGUGUCCCGAGUCUCCCUCAGCUGCUCAAGUGGUCGUCUGCGUGACCUUCACCACUUCAUAAAGGCACUCUGAGUGACUGUUCUCUGACUGAAGCCACCAUUGCUCUGGGGGUGUGAGAAGCUACACACAGCCCCAAAACCCGAGGCCUGGCAACGAGCUUGGACCAGGAGAUCUGCCAACUUUCCACUGGCCUGUGGGGCUCAGGAAGGCUAAAAUGAGAAGUGCAUGGCUGUGCAGAAAGCUUGGUCUCCACUAUUCAGAGAGGAUCAAGGAAGUAGAAACCAGAGGGGAUUUGAGUGGAAGACUCCUGAUACUACCUAGACUCAUAAGCUGAUGGUGCCCCUGUGCCUCGAAACAGACAGUAAGAACUCUGUGCUCUCUUAGAGCAGAAACUCAACUGUAACCAGAUGACCAAGGGAAGAAAUGGUCCUGGCACCCAGAGUCUAGUGCACAGCUGUGUCUCCCAGGAAACAAAAGGAAAAGCACUUGGGGCAUCUCCGUGUGCUGGA